GGGUUGUGAGGUUAAGCGACUAAGCGUACACGGUGGAUGCCCUGGCAGUCAGAGGCGAUGAAGGACGUGCUAAUCUGCGAAAAGCGACGGUAAGGUGAUAUGAACCGCUACAGCCGUCGAUGUCCGAAUGGGGAAACCCAGUGUGUUUCGACACACUAUCGUUAACUGAAUACAUAGGUUAACGAGGCGAACCGGGGGAACUGAAACAUCUAAGUACCCCGAGGAAAAGAAAUCAACCGAGAUUCCCCCAGUAGCGGCGAGCGAACGGGGAGCAGCCCAGGACCUGAAUCAGCUUGUGCAUCAGUGGAAGCGUCUGGAAAGUCGCGCGAUACCGGGUGACAGCCCCGUACACGAAGAUGCAUAAGUUGUGAGUCCGACGAGUAGGGCGGGACACGUGGUAUCCUGUCUGAACAUGGGGGGACCAUCCUCCAAGGCUAAAUACUCCUGACUGACCGAUAGUGAACCAGUACCGUGAGGGAAAGGCGAAAAGAACCCCGGCGAGGGGAGUGAAACAGAACCUGAAACCGUGUACGUACAAGCAGUGGGAGCCUACUUGUUAGGUGACUGCGUACCUUUUGUAUAAUGGGUCAGCGACUUAUAUUCUGUAGCAAGGUUAACCGCAUAGGGGAGCCGAAGGGAAACCGAGUCUUAAUUGGGCGUUAAGUUGCAGGGUAUAGACCCGAAACCCGGUGAUCUAGCCAUGGGCAGGUUGAAGGUUGGGUAACACUAACUGGAGGACCGAACCGACUAAUGUUGAAAAAUUAGCGGAUGACUUGUGGCUGGGGGUGAAAGGCAAAACAAACCAGGAGCUAACAGGUUGUACACGAAAGAUAUUUAGGAAGCGACUCGAGA
This 852-nucleotide ribosomal RNA is filed under the name Pantoea dispersa. RNAcentral describes it as "bacterial LSU rRNA". It matches the Rfam family "Bacterial large subunit ribosomal RNA", at positions 1 to 887 of the family's 2925-position model. Lineage: Bacteria; Pseudomonadati; Pseudomonadota; Gammaproteobacteria; Enterobacterales; Erwiniaceae. The record is from RNAcentral.